This 400-nucleotide ribosomal RNA is filed under the name uncultured bacterium. Its description in RNAcentral is "bacterial SSU rRNA". It matches the Rfam family "Bacterial small subunit ribosomal RNA", at positions 355 to 747 of the family's 1533-position model. The record is from RNAcentral.
UGGGGAAUAUUGGACAAUGGGGGGAACCCUGAUCCAGCAAUACCGCGUGUGUGAAGAAGGCCUUCGGGUUGUAAAGCACUUUCGUUGGGGAGGAAGGCUGUUGGCUGAAUAGGCUGACAGAUUGACGUUACCCACAGAAGAAGCACCGGCUAACUCUGUGCCAGCAGCCGCGGUAAUACAGAGGGUGCGAGCGUUAAUCGGAAUAACUGGGCGUAAAGCGUGCGUAGGUGGUUAUAUAAGUUAAGUGUAAAAUAUCUGGGCUCAACCUAGAAGGCGCACUUAAAACUGUAUAGCUAGAGUAUGGUAGGGGAAAGUGGAAUUUCCGGUGUAGCGGUGAAAUGCGUAGAUAUCGGAAGGAACAUCAGUGGCGAAGGCGACUUUCUGGACUGAUACUGACACU